AGUGAACGCUGGCGGUAGGCCUAACACAUGCGAGUCGAACGGCAGCACAGUAAGAGCUUGCUCUUACGGGUGGCGAGUGGCGGACGGGUGAGGAAUACAUCGGAAUCUACUUUUUCGUGGGGGAUAACGUAGGGAAACUUACGCUAAUACCGCAUACGACCUACGGGUGAAAGCAGGGGAUCUUCGGACCUUGCGCGAUUGAAUGAGCCGAUGUCGGAUUAGCUAGUUGGCGGGGUAAAGGCCCACCAAGGCGACGAUCCGUAGCUGGUCUGAGAGGAUGAUCAGCCACACUGGAACUGAGACACGGUCCAGACUCCUACGGGAGGCAGCAGUGGGGAAUAUUGGACAAUGGGCGCAAGCUUGAUCCAGCCAUACCGCGUGGGUGAAGAAGGCCUUCGGGUUGUAAAGCCCUUUUGUUGGGAAAGAAAAGCAGCAGGUUAAUACCCCGCUGUUCUGACGGUACCCAAAGAAUAAGCACCGGCUAACUUCGUG
This 492-nucleotide ribosomal RNA is filed under the name uncultured bacterium. Its description in RNAcentral is "partial 16S ribosomal RNA". It matches the Rfam family "Bacterial small subunit ribosomal RNA", at positions 29 to 507 of the family's 1533-position model. The record is from RNAcentral.